This 65-nucleotide transfer RNA is filed under the name Draco maculatus. RNAcentral's name for it is "tRNA-Val". The record is from RNAcentral. Lineage: Eukaryota; Metazoa; Chordata; Lepidosauria; Squamata; Agamidae.
CAAAAAGUAGCUUACACCAAAGCGCUCACCCUACAAGUGAAAGCCGUUACAACUAACCUUUUUGA